Long non-coding RNA from Magnolia sinica, 931 nucleotides. RefSeq lists it as uncharacterized. NCBI's taxonomy places the organism in Eukaryota, Viridiplantae, Streptophyta, Magnoliopsida, Magnoliales, Magnoliaceae. The transcript is spliced from 3 exons. The record is from RefSeq and is a predicted model, not a curated record.
GGAGUUUGCUGGGAGAGCUAAGCCUUAAUGUCUGGAUGAUGAUGUUCUCGGCCAUGGAGUUUCUGUCCGAAUCCAAAAUUGUUGAGCCGAUCUAUCUGGAGUUCAAUCCCCCAUUAUGCAUGCUAAGGAAAUUCUUCUUUAGCUAAUGUGGCAGUAGUGACAUUGGAGCUCAAUCCUUCAAUAUGCCAUGCUAAGGAAUUACAAUUUCCCUAUUUCCACUUUACCUGGCCAGUGAUUCAGUUUGAGCAUUCACCCAAAUGCACCGUCUGCUUUCUUGAAUCAAUGGCUUGAAAUGCUUCUGUUCGAUUAUAAAAGACAAAGAAGUUACUAAAAAGUAAUUGCCUUCAGUGGAUAUUUUGUGAGUAAUUUACUUUUCUUUUUCUAUGUAAUUCUACUAUUUAAGUACUUUGAUAAUCCUGUUGAAUUUGUGGCAGUUACUAUUGCUACUCUUGGGAAGAAGACUACAGUUGUUUCCAGAAGUACUUAUUGGAGCUGGAGUUCCUUGCUGCAGGUCAUAUAAGCUUUUGAAUGUCUUAGAGUUCAAUAGCUCCCGAAAGCGGAUGUUUGUGACAGUAAGAAGUGAGGAAGGCCAGUUGUUGCUACUUUGCAAAGGCGCCGACAGUGUCAUGUUUGAAAGAUGAGAAGUUACAGUUCCUAGCUUAGAAUCCAUCGAAGAAAUGAGGAUGCCUUCAUUCGAUAAUCUGGUGAUGACAAUGAGAUCAACAAAGAGAUCUUCGAAAGGGGGGAAUGUGGAACUCAAGUAGCAGCAGAAGGCAUGUUUACUGUCGCCUGCAUCUCCUCUCACCGCCAUCAAUUGAUUGAAAGGAAGUACAAGCAGAUGUAUGAUAUCAAAUGGCACUAAAAACAAUAAUGAAUUCAAGCAGUGACUGACAGCAAAAUGUAUGAUCAUUGGAUAGAUCUUAGAUCUCCU